RNAcentral lists this ribosomal RNA (465 nucleotides) under Vreelandella stevensii. RNAcentral describes it as "partial 16S ribosomal RNA". It matches the Rfam family "Bacterial small subunit ribosomal RNA", at positions 338 to 795 of the family's 1533-position model. Lineage: Bacteria; Pseudomonadati; Pseudomonadota; Gammaproteobacteria; Oceanospirillales; Halomonadaceae. The record is from RNAcentral.
CCUACGGGCGGCAGCAGUGGGGAAUAUUGGACAAUGGGGGGAACCCUGAUCCAGCCAUGCCGCGUGUGUGAAGAAGGCCCUCGGGUUGUAAAGCACUUUCAGUGAGGAAGAACGCCUGGUGGUUAAUACCCAUCAGGAAAGACAUCACUCACAGAAGAAGCACCGGCUAACUCCGUGCCAGCAGCCGCGGUAAUACGGAGGGUGCGAGCGUUAAUCGGAAUUACUGGGCGUAAAGCGCGCGUAGGUGGCUUGAUAAGCCGGUUGUGAAAGCCCCGGGCUCAACCUGGGAACGGCAUCCGGAACUGUCAAGCUAGAGUGCAGGAGAGGAAGGUAGAAUUCCCGGUGUAGCGGUGAAAUGCGUAGAGAUCGGGAGGAACACCAGUGGCGAAGGCGGCCUUCUGGACUGACACUGACACUGAGGUGCGAAAGCGUGGGUAGCAAACAGGAUUAGAUACCCUUGUAGUC